This 496-nucleotide ribosomal RNA is filed under the name uncultured Desulfobulbus sp. RNAcentral describes it as "bacterial SSU rRNA". It matches the Rfam family "Bacterial small subunit ribosomal RNA", at positions 890 to 1382 of the family's 1533-position model. The record is from RNAcentral. Lineage: Bacteria; Pseudomonadati; Thermodesulfobacteriota; Desulfobulbia; Desulfobulbales; Desulfobulbaceae.
CCGCUCAGAACUUAAAGGAAUGACGGGGCCCGGCACAAGCGGUGGAGUAUGUGGUUAAUUCGAUGCAACGCGAAGAACCUUACCUGGUCUUGACAUCCCGGAGACCCUUAGGAAACUAGGGGGUGCUUCCAUCUGGAAGAAUCUGGAGACAGGUGCUGCAUGGCUGUCGUCAGCUCGUGUCGUGAGAUGUUGGGUUAAGUCCCGUAACGAGCGCAACCCUUGCCUUUAGUUGCCAGCAGUUCGGCUGGGCACUCUAAAGGGACUGCCGGUGUUAAACCGGAGGAAGGUGGGGAUGACGUCAAGUCCUCAUGGCCUUUAUGACCAGGGCUACACACGUACUACAAUGGCCGAUACAAAGGGCAGCGACACUGCGAGGUGAAGCCAAUCCCGUAAAAUCGGUCUCAGUCCGGAUUGGAGUCUGCAACUCGACUCCAUGAAGUUGGAAUCGCUAGUAAUCGUGGAUCAGCAUGCCACGGUGAAUACGUUCCCGGGCCUU